UGGCGAAGGUUUCAUUCUGGGAAGUUUUGGUAGUUUCCACCACAUUAGUGUUCCUGUUCUACGCGAUGCAAGGAGGAGGUUGCUCUGCUGUUCUUGCACAGCUACAUAGUGUAAAAGUUGAGGAGAGAGUUUUCGUAUUCCGACCUGCCACUACUACUACUCGUCGAACAACUACACAAUCGCGUCGUCCAGCAACCUUCAAGGGUCAAGGACGCUAGUGGAACUUCUUGCAGUCGUCCCAUCAAGCACUGAAUGGAGCCUAGAGCAACAUGGAAGAAAUGCCAUUCUUUGUUUCAACGGAUCACAGAAUACAAGAAAAGUUUGGUUGGGCACCGCGGGCAUUCCUGUCGAGCUGAAGAAUAAAAUUUUCCUCAUCUCUCGUUGAAAGACGCUGCAUGUCCUAAACUUUCGUCAAAUCUUCUUACUAGCAUUCGUGUAAGACAUUUGAACAUAUCUAUCUUGCACAGGUUGUAAAAUUUCUCUUAAUGGAAUUAAUUAUUUAACUCCUGUCAACAUGACUAAAAAAGAAGGCUUUCUUUCAACACUCAGCUAUUAUAUCUAAACUCAGUAUCUCUUCUCCGUGCUA
Molecule: long non-coding RNA, 586 nt
Organism: Dermacentor andersoni
Lineage: Eukaryota; Metazoa; Arthropoda; Arachnida; Ixodida; Ixodidae
Source: RefSeq, a predicted model, not a curated record